RNAcentral lists this ribosomal RNA (1490 nucleotides) under Streptococcus thermophilus. Its description in RNAcentral is "bacterial SSU rRNA". It matches the Rfam family "Bacterial small subunit ribosomal RNA". Lineage: Bacteria; Bacillati; Bacillota; Bacilli; Lactobacillales; Streptococcaceae. The record is from RNAcentral.
UGCCCGCCUGCAAAAUCCUGGCAGUAGACGCUGAAGAAGAAGGAAGCUUGGCUCUUCCUUGGGAUGAGUUGCGAACGGGUGAGUAACGCGUAGGUAACCUGCCUUGUAGCGGGGGAUAACUAUUGGAAACGAUAGCUAAUACCGCAUAACAAUGGAUGACACAUGUCAUUUAUUUGAAAGGGGCAAUUAGCUCCACUACAAGAUGGACCUGCGUUGUAUUAGCUAGUAGGUGAGGUAAUGGCUCACCUAGGCGACGAUACAUAGCCGACCUGAGAGGGUGAUCGGCCACACUGGGACUGAGACACGGCCCAGACUCCUACGGGAGGCAGCAGUAGGGAAUCUUCGGCAAUGGGGGCAACCCUGACCGAGCAACGCCGCGUGAGUGAAGAAGGUUUUCGGAUCGUAAAGCUCUGUUGUAAGUCAAGAACGGGUGUGAGAGUGGAAAGUUCACACUGUGACGGUAGCUUACCAGAAAGGGACGGCUAACUACGUGCCAGCAGCCGCGGUAAUACGUAGGUCCCGAGCGUUGUCCGGAUUUAUUGGGCGUAAAGCGAGCGCAGGCGGUUUGAUAAGUCUGAAGUUAAAGGCUGUGGCUCAACCAUAGUUCGCUUUGGAAACUGUCAAACUUGAGUGCAGAAGGGGGAGAGUGGAAAUUCCAUGUGUAGCGGUGAAAUGCGUAGAUAUAUGGAGGAACACCGGUGGCGAAAGCGGCUCUCUGGUCUGUAACUGACGCUGAGGCUCGAAAGCGUGGGGAGCGAACAGGAUUAGAUACCCUGGUAGUCCACGCCGUAAACGAUGAGUGCUAGGUGUUGGAUCCUUUCCGGGAUUCAGUGCCGCAGCUAACGCAUUAAGCACUCCGCCUGGGGAGUACGACCGCAAGGUUGAAACUCAAAGGAAUUGACGGGGGCCCGCACAAGCGGUGGAGCAUGUGGUUUAAUUCGAAGCAACGCGAAGAACCUUACCAGGUCUUGACAUCCCGAUGCUAUUUCUAGAGAUAGAAAGUUACUUCGGUACAUCGGUGACAGGUGGUGCAUGGUUGUCGUCAGCUCGUGUCGUGAGAUGUUGGGUUAAGUCCCGCAACGAGCGCAACCCCUAUUGUUAGUUGCCAUCAUUCAGUUGGGCACUCUAGCGAGACUGCCGGUAAUAAACCGGAGGAAGGUGGGGAUGACGUCAAAUCAUCAUGCCCCUUAUGACCUGGGCUACACACGUGCUACAAUGGUUGGUACAACGAGUUGCGAGUCGGUGACGGCGAGCUAAUCUCUUAAAGCCAAUCUCAGUUCGGAUUGUAGGCUGCAACUCGCCUACAUGAAGUCGGAAUCGCUAGUAAUCGCGGAUCAGCACGCCGCGGUGAAUACGUUCCCGGGCCUUGUACACACCGCCCGUCACACCUACGAGAGUUUGUAACACCCGAAGUCGGUGAGGUAACCUUUUGGAGCCAGCCGCCUAAGGUGGGACAGAUGAUUGGGGGAAGACGAUAAGACGAGAACACC